CUGGCUCAGGACGAACGUUGGCGGCGUGCCUAAUACAUGCAAGUCGAACGAGGUCUCCUAACUGAUAGCUGGUGCUUGCAUCAGCUUGACGAUAGAUCUGACCGAGUGGCGAACUGGUGAGUAACACGUGGGUAACCUGCCCAGAAGAAGGGGAUAACACCUGGAAACAGAUGCUAAUACCGUAUAACAACGAGAACCACAUGGUUCUCGUUUGAAAGAUGGCUU
RNAcentral lists this ribosomal RNA (225 nucleotides) under Fructilactobacillus lindneri DSM 20690 = JCM 11027. Its description in RNAcentral is "Lactobacillus lindneri DSM 20690 = JCM 11027 16S rRNA. Bacterial SSU". It matches the Rfam family "Bacterial small subunit ribosomal RNA", at positions 19 to 214 of the family's 1533-position model. Lineage: Bacteria; Bacillati; Bacillota; Bacilli; Lactobacillales; Lactobacillaceae. The record is from RNAcentral.